AGAGCGGGGGACCCGAAAGGGCCUCGCGCUGCAGGGGCGGCCGAUGGCAGAUUAGCUAGUUGGUGGGGUAAAGGCCUACCAAGGCGACGAUCUGUAGCUGGUCUGAGAGGACGACCAGCCACACUGGGACUGAGACACGGCCCAGACUCCUACGGGAGGCAGCAGUGGGGAAUUUUGGACAAUGGGCGCAAGCCUGAUCCAGCAAUGCCGCGUGUGUGAAGAAGGCCUUCGGGUUGUAAAGCACUUUUGUCCGGAAAGAAAACUUCAGCCCUAAUACGGCAGGAGGAUGACGGUACCGGAAGAAUAAGCACCGGCUAACUACGUGCCAGCAGCCGCGGUAAUACGUAGGGUGCAAGCGUUAAUCGGAAUUACUGGGCGUAAAGCGUGCGCAGGCGGUUCGCUAAGACAGAUGUGAAAUCCCCGGGCUUAACCUGGGAACUGCAUUUGUGACUGGCGGG
Molecule: ribosomal RNA, 458 nt
Filed under: uncultured Burkholderia sp.
Lineage: Bacteria; Pseudomonadati; Pseudomonadota; Betaproteobacteria; Burkholderiales; Burkholderiaceae
Description: bacterial SSU rRNA
Rfam family: Bacterial small subunit ribosomal RNA
Source: RNAcentral